This 465-nucleotide ribosomal RNA is filed under the name uncultured bacterium. Its description in RNAcentral is "SSU rRNA". It matches the Rfam family "Bacterial small subunit ribosomal RNA", at positions 26 to 518 of the family's 1533-position model. The record is from RNAcentral.
AGGAUUAACGCUGGCGGCGUGCCUAACACAUGCAAGUCGAACGAGGUAGCAAUACCUAGUGGCAGACGGGUGAGUAGCGCGUGGUCAACCUACCGUUGAGUGGGGGAUAACUAGCCGAAAGGUUAGCUAAUACCGCAUACGUCUCCGAGGGGCAUCCCUUGGCGAUAAAAGGAGCAAUCCGCUCGAUGACGGGACCGCGUCCCAUUAGCUAGUUGGUGGGGUAACGGCCUACCAAGGCAUCGAUGGGUAGCUGGUUUGAGAGAGCGACCAGCCACACUGGGACUGAGAUACGGCCCAGACUCCUACGGGAGGCAGCAGUGAGGAAUUUUCCGCAAUGGGCGAAAGCCUGACGGAGCGACGCCGCGUGUGGGAAGAAGGCCUUCGGGUCGUAAACCGACUGUCGAAGGGGAAGAUAAUGACGGUACCCUUGGAGGAAGCCCCGGCUAACUACGCGCCAGCAGCCGC